Long non-coding RNA from Chelonia mydas (Green sea turtle), 1778 nucleotides. RefSeq lists it as uncharacterized. NCBI's taxonomy places the organism in Eukaryota, Metazoa, Chordata, Testudines, Cheloniidae. The record is from RefSeq and is a predicted model, not a curated record. The transcript is spliced from 2 exons.
UUGGCCACUGUCAGAAGACAGGAUACUGGGCUAGAUGGACCUUUGGUCUGACCCAGUAUGGCCAAUCUUAUGACAGGUAACCAGAGGCAAAGUCAGUAUAAGAAUUCAGGAGCCAGCCCCGUGUUCAGUCCACUAAACAAGGUUGUCUCUUCCAGUGGUCUGAUGGCUUCUCCAGAGACCAGCUACUAAAGGGUGCUUAUCAACCUCUUUCCCUCUGCUUCAAAGCUAAGCUGGAAGGGCAUUUGUACAGCACCUAGCACAAUGGGACUCUGAUCACUAAGUGCUACUAUAAUACAAAUAGUAAGAGGGCUGCAGCAGUGUCUGCAGAGCAGCUCCUUAGUUACUCCACAGCUUGGAAGAAGGAUUCCCCUUCCCAGACACAUGUCCUGAGCUACUGUACUUGGGUACUUCUGAGUGGCUUUGCCCCCUAGUAGUAUUUUAACAGACCCUAACUUGCCACCCUGGCAAGUCAUCCUAGUACAGAUUCCCUCAUAAAUACCAAGGCCCAGGGCCAGUUUCUUUUUUUUUGAUGUAAUCUUUGUGUUUUGAGAAUCCUCUAAAAUGCAGUAAAUUUGCACCUGGUAUUUCACAGUUCUUCAGGGUACCCCCUAAACUGUCCUUUUUCUUAGUGCGUCUCUCAGCAUCCCACAAACUCUCCCUUUGGCUUGGCUACAGGCCCGGUCCUGGCCAGUUUACAGACUGAGCGACCGCAUUCUGCCCCCUCAAACGCCCUCUGCAGUUUCAGCUGGGUACUGUGUGCUGCACCUUGCGGCCCGCAACAGUUGUGUGUGGUUGCGAGGCACCUUUAAAGCAGCUGCCAUGUUCCACCUCAGUGGCAGCUGCAUUUCCUUGGCAUUUCCUUGUGACUUCUGUGUGCUUGUUGUUGAGCCCUCUGCAGGGAGAGCAGCUAGAUAAAUAACGUGCUAAUAUCUGGGCUGCCACACGUGACUUCUUUCUUCAAAAUAUGACAAAUGGGAUGCCCUAGUAUGAGCACUUAAGGCCGAGUCCUGAAACCCCUACUCAUGCAUGCAAUUUCAUGGCCUCCAGUGGGUCUGUUGCAGGACAGAGCUCUUCAUAAUGGUGGCACGUUAGCACAAACCUUGCUCAUAAUAAGCACUUGAUCUGGGCACCCAUCCCUGAAAAGUUUGGAUGCUGCCUCUGAGACUGUCUGUUCAGGUCACUAGCAUAGUGAAGAACCUUUCAUCUUAAUGUCUUCACAGCUGGGUCUGGACAAAGAGCUGGACGGGACCAGUCAGAGAGUGCUUGUUGGUUUAAAUUUUAGUUGCUGGAGGAUGUUUUGCACUAAAUGGGACUACCGAUUCCCUUCUGUAGACUGCCAGGGCCCUUCCAGGUUCUGGGAAUGGAGACCUUUGUAUUGUUGGCAAAGGAAUAAGGGGGUUUCUUUUUUGAACUUUCACUCACUGACCACCUUCUCUUUCAGCUGAACUGAGCAAGCCAGUGUGGGAAGGGAUUCCAGGGUCCGCACUGGGGCCACAGCCAGAACCCAGCUAUCCUUCUGCUGUCUGUGCGCACCAGAAGCAGCAGCGCUGGAAACCGGAAUCCUGUGUCCUGGAGCAGAGCCAGCAGCAGCUGCUGGCAGUAACGGGAGCUUUCCCACACUUGACACCUUCACUGCCCUCAUCCUCCUAUGGGGAAGGAAAAUGUAAUCGCCGACCAUAUGAGUGAACCCAGGACUGGAAACAGCAUCUCUGCUUGGCAUUCGCAGGCUGAGUUUCUCAGUCUUGUACGUACAAACAAGCAUUACUGUAAGUUCUCUU